AGGGAGUGGCGAACGGGUGAGUAACACGUUGGAACCUAUUCUGAACUCAGGGAUAACCUCGGGAAACCGAGAUUAAUACCGGAUGUCCCAGUAAUGGGAAAGAUUUAUUGGUUCGGGAGGGGCCUGCGUAGUAUUAGCUUGUUGGUAAGGUAAAAGCUUACCAAGGCUAUGAUGUUUAACUGGUUUGAGAGGAUAACCAGUUAUAAUGGAAUUGAGAUAUGGUUUAUACUCCUAUGGGAGGUAGUAGUGAGGAAUUUUUUGUAAUGGGCGAAAGUUUGAUGGAGCGACACCGCGUGGAGGAUGAAGGCCUUUUGGUUGUAAACUCCUUUUCUGAAGGAAUAAAUGAUGAAGUUACUUCAGGAAUAAGCACCGGUUAAUUACGUGUUAGUAGUUGUGGUAAUAUGUAGGGUGCAAGCGUUAUCCGGAAUUAUUGGGCGUAAAGCGUUCGUAGGCUGUCUGUUAAGUUUGUAGUUAAAUUUGUCGUUUAAUGAUCGAAUCGCUACAAAAACUGACAGACUAGAGAAUGGCAGAGGCAACUGGAAUUCCACAUGUAGGGGUAAAAUCCGUUGAUAUGUGGAGGAAUAUUAAAAGUGAAGGUAGGUUGCUGGGCCAUUUCUGAUGCUGAGGAACGAAAGCGUGGGGAGUAAAUAGGAUUAGAUACUCUGGUAGUCCACGCCGUAAACGAUGGAUACUCGGUGUAAAGGGGAUUUGAUUCCCCUUUGUGCCUAAGUUAAUGUGUUAAGUAUCCCGUUUGGGGAGUACGGUCGUAAGAUUAAAACUCAAAGGAAUAGACGGGGACCCACACAAGCGGUGGAGCAUGUGGUUUAAUUUGAUAAUAAAUGGGGAAUUUUACCCAGGCUUGAUAUUUCCGGAAAUCUCAAGAAAUUGAGAUGUGCCGUAAGGAACCGGAUGACAGGUGCUGUAUGGUCGUCGUCAGCUCGUGCCUUGAGGUGUUCGGUUAAGUCCGUAAACGAGCGUAAUCCAUGUCCUAUGUUGUAAUUUCAUAGGAGACUGCCGGCUUUAAGUCGGAGGAAGGUAUGGAUGACGUCAGAUCAGUAUGGCCCUUAUGCCUGGGGUUAUACACGUGCUACAAUGGCAGGUAUAAUGAGUUGCUAACCCGUAAGGGGGAGUUAAUUUCAUUAAAGCCUGUCUCAGUUCGGAUUGAGGGUUGAAAUUUGACCUCAUGAAGUUGGAAUCGCUAGUAACCGCAAAUUAGUUAUGUUGCGGUGAAUAUGUUCCUGGGUCUUGUACUCACCGCCCGUCACAUCAUGAAAGGUGGGGGUGUCCGAAGUCGCCUUAGUCCUUUGGGACGGGUGCCUAAGGUAAACUCACUGAUUGGGAUGAAGUCGAAAUAAGGUA
RNAcentral lists this ribosomal RNA (1359 nucleotides) under metagenome. Its description in RNAcentral is "bacterial SSU rRNA". It matches the Rfam family "Bacterial small subunit ribosomal RNA". The record is from RNAcentral.